Microcebus murinus (gray mouse lemur) is the source of this 2377-nucleotide non-coding RNA. Lineage: Eukaryota; Metazoa; Chordata; Mammalia; Primates; Cheirogaleidae. The record is from RefSeq and is a predicted model, not a curated record.
AAUGCUGCAGCUGUUGAGCAGGUUGCCACUGGCCACAUUGGCCAUGCUGUCCCCGUUCCUAGCACAAGAAGCUCCAAGAAGCUGUGUAGCUAGUAGGCUGUUCAUUUCUGCCUCCAGGAAAUAGGUCAAGGUCAAAAAACCUCCAGAGACCAGAGGAGAGAGAAGCUUCCAGGCUCAGCUUCAUUCCACCUCCUGCCUCUAAGUGCUGUCAGAUUGGACUGCCAGUAGAACUGCCACAACCACCUGGCCUCAGGUCAAAAGUGAAGAAGCAGAGAGCACCGUCCACACCCUGCCUUGGAUCCAAAAGGCCUUCUUCACUGUCAAGGAUAACAGUAAAGAGAGUUCCAGAAAUGUGGUUUAGAACAAGAGCCCCCGUAGAGCGCACCCUGGGGAUUAUAAAUGUGGAGACAGUCACUCUAUGCCAUCUGGUGAUGGAAAGAACUUGGAGGACACCUGCUCUGGAAAACACCUGCCCAUGUUCUUAAUGAGGAACAUCUUCCUUGGACUUUGCCUAAGUUAGGAGUAAACUUUAAUUGCAUAAAACCUCUCAAUUUUGGGUUUUAUUUGUGAAUGCAGCAUAGCUUAACCUAUCAUGACUAAAACCCAGGGGAUUUUGAUUUUAGUCCCCAAGAGAACUUCACUUUAGGGGCACCAGCGUCAUACUGAGUGAGUGGACAGUAGGAACGACAUUUUGGUAAUAAGAACUUUCCUGAGAGUCCCUCUGAUUAUCCCCUGGUUACCCCCACUGCACCCAGGAUUCCUGUGAGCCCAAGGGGAGUUACCUCCUGGACACCUAGCAAGGUAGUGGGGUGGUGGAAAGGACUGGCACUCGUACUUGGGGAGACCAAACUGUCCAUACGCCUCUGAGAUGAGACAGCAGUUAUGGGCACCUUGGCUACGUCAUAUUAAGUUUCUAAUAUUUAAGAUUAGAAUGAACAGGACCCAUACACAUGCUGUUCACUACUUUCAUGGACAUAAUCCCUGAGCCCAACUCUGUUUGGGCUCCUUAGCGUCUACUGUGUCUUAGCCUCAGUUCUCUCCAGAGCAGAGCCUGAAAUUAGGACUGGUGUGCAGGAUGUUUAUCUAGCAUGUGAUCACAUAGAGCAAGAGUGAGGGAUCAGAAAGUAUAAAACAGGGAUGGAGAAAAAACUACGACGAGGGUCUUCUAAGUUACCCACCACAGUGGGCAACUGGGGCUUAGUCCUUCCAGGAUAUGCGGAGGCAUGUAUAGGCUGUUUCAGAAUUGUCCACUGAAGGAUCCACAGGGAGAAAUAUGUCCAUCACUCAUUGGUUGAAGGUGGCCCAAGAAGGCAACAACUCCCCUGACUACAGGGCUUUGCUCGGAGCAUGCUGAGUUUCCUUCUGUGGUGUUGGAGCAGCCACCCCCAGGAACACAGCAAAAGAUGCUCCGAGCAUGCUGGAGGCAAGGUGCUGUCAGCGUGAAGCCAUGUGAAGCCCACACGGUAUUGUUUGCCAAAGCCAAGGCUGCAAACAGUGCUGGGGCUGGCAGGAUGUGAGGAGGGCCCUACAGGUGUCUGACACAUAGCCCCUUCCUGCCAGCAACCUGAUCUCUUCAUGGGGAAUUCUUGAGGGCAUGAAUUCCUGCCUCUGAUCUCCCAUUUCUCAGAAGCUGAAACUCAGGGGGACAGGUCUGUCCUCUGCCUGACCUAAGCUCAUCUUAUUGGUGAGUGGACGAUUCUGAAAGGCACGCUGUACACACUUCACAAGGUCCCCAGCAGGAUGAAGCCCGGUUUCCCAUAGUAGUGCAUGACUUGAUAACAUCCCCUUGCAGUGGCUUAGACCAGGUAGAGGACAUCCCUAGACCUUGAAUUCUGAGAGAGUAAAGCAAGGAUGGGGCGAUUUGAUGAUCUAUCUUAUAUAGUGGUGGCCUCAGCAGUAGCAUUCUGACUGGAUUGUCCCUUUUAGGAGACAAUCUUUUCUCCUUGCUUCCUGCAGCAGCCCUUCUGAGUUUCCUUGUUCUUGUCAUUCUCUAGCUUGAAUCUUAGCCUCCCUGUGAGUCUAUGAGCCUCUCAUAUCCUCCCAAUAAAUUCCUUCUUCCUUAUGCUAGCCAUAGCUACACUCUGACAGAGAAGAGAUACCAUAACCCUCCCAAAACAAUCAGGUUUGAACUCAUCAUGUGAAUCUCUGCUAAUUUGGAUUCAACCACCGGUAGGUAUUAUCUGUUGUGUACAUAUGUGUAUUAUGUGUAUUAAUGGCACAUUUGUAAGUGGAAGUGUCUAUAGAAGCUAGCUCUGACGCCAUCUUGUUGGAAUUAACAUUGAUUCAGCAAAAAAACCCCUCCGACUUCUGCCUCAGCAGCUUAUCAGUAAUAGUCUGAUCAAAACAAGAGUAUAUGCUUCUGAUUUUAUACUGAGAG